Molecule: long non-coding RNA, 299 nt
Organism: Cydia splendana
Lineage: Eukaryota; Metazoa; Arthropoda; Insecta; Lepidoptera; Tortricidae
Exons: 2
Source: RefSeq, a predicted model, not a curated record
ACACCCUCCGUGUGGCAGUUGGGCUGCGCCUGGGGGUUCCAAUCUGUGCACCGCAUAAAUGCCACUGUGGGAGUGAUGUGGACCAGCUGGGGCGUCAUGGUCUGUCUUGCCAGCGAAGCGCGGGGCGAUUGUCACGUCACGCCGCGCUCAAUGACAUUAUCCGUCGGUCUCUUGUCACCGUCAACGUGCCAGCGAUACUCGAGCCGACCGGUAUGGCCCGGGACGAUGGCAAGAGACCGGAUGGUAUUGUGGGACGCGACCUGUGUGGACACACUGGCACCGUCUCACCUUCACGGUAC